This 246-nucleotide long non-coding RNA is filed under the name Gossypium raimondii (Peruvian cotton). RNAcentral describes it as "long non-coding RNA (GRAI_LNC004003)". Lineage: Eukaryota; Viridiplantae; Streptophyta; Magnoliopsida; Malvales; Malvaceae. The record is from RNAcentral.
UCACGUAUCCCUACGUAUACAAGUAUAGCCCUACUGCGCCCUUCAUAUUGUACAAAGCCUAUUAUUUACUAGAUAAGUCAUAAACUCUGACACCAAGAAGUGUUAUUAUUAUUGCCUGUUUAACUUUGCUAACUCUUCUUUAGAAAUUCUCACAUUGUUAAAAUGUCCAUUGUUCGGCUCGGCUAUACUUCCAUUUGCAUUAGGACACGUGACAGGCCAAAAAGAUGCUUGAAUAGUAAGUUUGCC